AUGCUGAGUUGUUGUUAUCUUGUUGCAAUAUCAUUUCUUAUUGUUGCACAUCCGUUAGAACUUUUUGUAGUUGCCAGGGGAAGGAUCCGUGUCGAUGCUGACAGUGUUCAAAGGGUAUUUGAUCUUCCUAACAGGGGUCUAAAAGUCUGUUACAAAGUUGACAAGGAUACAACUAGGAGAUUCAGAGAGACCUUCAACAUAACUGGAACUUCUCAUCCCCAGAUCAAUACAUGGACCAAGAUGAUUAAGGAUAUGGGCGGAAGAACGGAUGACACAUUCUUUAUGGCCCGGCUUGCUGUUGCCUUCAGCACUUUCUUAGCACCAACCACGGCCUUGAAGCUCAGCCCAAAGUGCUACAGACUUGUGCUAGAUCAUGAAAACCUCAAGAACACAAACAUCUGCCUUUUUGUAGCAGAACACAUUAACAAAGCUUUUCGGAACAUGGACCAGGAGAAGCAAACUGUCUGCUGCUGCUUGUAUCACUUGAUGAUACUAUACCUUGAUGCGCUUGUCCAUGGCAUCCCAGUAAGCACCUGCGCAAUACGAUCGAAUGCAUAG
Molecule: ribosomal RNA, 558 nt
Filed under: Triticum aestivum (bread wheat)
Lineage: Eukaryota; Viridiplantae; Streptophyta; Magnoliopsida; Poales; Poaceae
Description: partial small subunit ribosomal RNA
Source: RNAcentral